UUCUCUUUUUGGUGAAUACAUCAAUGUUUUCAUUCCAAGUGAAUGAGACAGUGUAUCUCCAGUAUCAAAUUCAAUAAAAUUUUCUUUUUGGUUACUUAUAAUUUUUGAUUCUUCAUAUUCUGUUUCCUCUUCAAUAGAAUCUGCAAGGUUUACUGUGGCACGUUUAGGACAGAUAUUUGAUUUGUGUCGAUUUUCUCCGGA
RNAcentral lists this long non-coding RNA (201 nucleotides) under Spirodela polyrhiza (greater duckweed). Its description in RNAcentral is "long non-coding RNA (SPOL_LNC000408)". The record is from RNAcentral. Lineage: Eukaryota; Viridiplantae; Streptophyta; Magnoliopsida; Alismatales; Araceae.